This 484-nucleotide ribosomal RNA is filed under the name uncultured bacterium. Its description in RNAcentral is "partial 16S ribosomal RNA". It matches the Rfam family "Bacterial small subunit ribosomal RNA", at positions 30 to 507 of the family's 1533-position model. The record is from RNAcentral.
AUUGAACGCUGGCGGCAGGCCUAACACAUGCAAGUCGAGCGGAUGAAGGGAGCUUGCUCCUGGAUUCAGCGGCGGACGGGUGAGUAAUGCCUAGGAAUCUGCCUGGUAGUGGGGGAUAACGUCCGGAAACGGGCGCUAAUACCGCAUACGUCCUGAGGGAGAAAGUGGGGGAUCUUCGGACCUCACGCUAUCAGAUGAGCCUAGGUCGGAUUAGCUAGUUGGUGGGGUAAAGGCCUACCAAGGCGACGAUCCGUAACUGGUCUGAGAGGAUGAUCAGUCACACUGGAACUGGGAAACGGGCCAGACUCCUAAGGGAGGCAGGAGUGGGGAAUAUUGGACAAUGGGCGAAAGCCUGAUCCAGCCAUGCCGCGUGUGUGAAGAAGGUCUUCGGAUUGUAAAGCACUUUAAGUUGGGAGGAAGGGCAGUAAGUUAAUACCUUGCUGUUUUGACGUUACCAACAGAAUAAGCACCGGCUAACUUCGUG